AGAAGAGUUGUCUGUAGCACUGUGCUUAAAUUGGCAAUGUGAAAACGUUUUAAGCAACUAAUUAAGACUGAAAAACUAGUAUGCUAGUUGAUAACUGAUGUGGCAAACUUUGCACUGUUAUUUUUUCAUAAAUCUUCGUCGCGUGUGUAUCGAGGUAAGGAACCUGAAACGCCUUCUCAUCAUACUAAUUGGAUUUUCUGAAUAACGAGAAGAAAAGUUCUCGUCGAAUUCUUUCAUCUCGGAUGGAGAUCUGAAGACUAUAUACGACAAUGUCUUUUAAAUAAUAACCGUACUAAAUGGCCGUGAAAUUUGAUCCUCGUUACGAAGUUAAAAGAUAAAUUUAUCACUGUGUAUGUAAAUAUGUAAUAAAUGUCCAAAAGUUCCAGUCA
Long non-coding RNA from Melitaea cinxia (Glanville fritillary), 389 nucleotides. RefSeq lists it as uncharacterized. NCBI's taxonomy places the organism in Eukaryota, Metazoa, Arthropoda, Insecta, Lepidoptera, Nymphalidae. The record is from RefSeq and is a predicted model, not a curated record. The transcript has 2 exons.